AGCCAUGCAUGUUUCUGUUAUAAAGGACAAAUAGCUCAGUAAAACUAAGUUUAUUUAAUCUUGACAUAAAAUAACCAAUUGAAAAUUUGGCUAAAAAAUAAAGAAUAAGACUUAGAAUCAUCAGCUAGUUGGUAGUGUAAAGGACUACCAAGGCAGUGACGGUUAACGGGACACGAGAGUGUUAUACCGGAGAGGGAGCCUGAGAGAUUGCUCCCACGUCCAAGGACGGCAGCAGGCGCGAAAAUUGUCCACUCUUGUAGGAGACAGUUAUGAAAAGUAAUAUUGGUAGGUUUUAUAAAAUAAAAUACUAAAAUUGGAGGGCAAGUUUGGUGCCAGCAGCCGCGGUAAUACCAACUCCAAGAGUGUGUAUGAGAGUUGUUGCAGUUAAAAGGUCCGUAGUUUUAAUUUUAAACAAUGAAUUUCAUUUAAUUAAUAUUUAGGGACUGAUGGGGAUUAUAGUAUACAAAGGCGAGAGAUGAAAUGCCAAGACCCUUUGUGGACUAAGCGAGGCGAAAGCGAUAAUCUUGUAAGUACUCGUUGAUCAAGGACGAAGGGUAGAGUAUCGAAGGUGAUUAGAUACCGCUGUAGUUCUACCAGUAAAAGAUGCCGACUUUUUGUGUGUUUUAUUAAAAUGUCAUAUUAACAUAUUUCUAUUAAUAUACACUCGAAAGAGAGAAAUCAGUAAGUGUUCGGGCUCUGGGGAUAGUACGCUCGCAAGGGUAAAAAUUAAAGAAAUU
Molecule: ribosomal RNA, 737 nt
Filed under: Microsporidium sp. BPAR8 PAR3
Lineage: Eukaryota; Fungi; Microsporidia
Description: SSU rRNA
Rfam family: Microsporidia small subunit ribosomal RNA
Source: RNAcentral